UACGGAGGAUGCAAGCGUUAUCCGGAUUUAUUGGGUUUAAAGGGUGCGUAGGCGGAUAUGUAAGUCAGCGGUGAAACUCACAGGCUCAACCUGUGCCGUGCCGUUGAUACUGCAUGGCUAGGAUUUGGUUGCUGUGGGUGAAAUGUGUGGUGUAGCGGUGAAAUGCUUAGAUAUCACACAGAAUAUCAAUUGCGAAGGCAGCUCACAAAGCCAAGAUUGACGCUGAGGCACGAAAGUGUGGGGA
This 244-nucleotide ribosomal RNA is filed under the name uncultured prokaryote. Its description in RNAcentral is "partial 16S ribosomal RNA". It matches the Rfam family "Bacterial small subunit ribosomal RNA", at positions 524 to 767 of the family's 1533-position model. The record is from RNAcentral.